Perkinsus marinus ATCC 50983 is the source of this 479-nucleotide non-coding RNA. NCBI's taxonomy places the organism in Eukaryota, Perkinsozoa, Perkinsida, Perkinsidae. The record is from Rfam.
AUUGUUCACCCGCCAAUAGGGAACGUGAGCUGGGUUUAGACCGUCGUGAGACAGGUUAGUUUUACCCUACUGACAAAGUAGAUACUGCGACAGUAGUCGAAGUUAGUACGAGAGGAACACUUCGUCCAGAUACUUGGUUAAUGCCGUUGUCUGAAAAGACAGUACGGCGAAGCUACCAUCUGCUGGAUUACGGCUGAACGCCUCUAAGCCGGAAUCCAUGCUGGAUAAGCAGUGUUGUACACCGUGCUCAAUGCUACAAGAAAAAGGCUAGGUCAGGCUUCGGCCUGACCAAAAUUCAAGCUGCUAUACCUCUGGCUGCAUUGACUUGUGGUCAGAGUGUAUGGUGAUCAUAGCAAUUGCAAGUAUUGGGCUCGAUAAAUCCUUUGAAGACGACUUAAUUGCAUCCGGGUAUUGUAAGUGUUGAGAGUAGGCUUAGUCUUACGAUCCACUGAGAUUCAUCCCGUGUUGCGCCGAUUUGU